ACUUGUUCCAAGAUAAGCCAUGCACGUCUAAGUACAAACUAAAUGAUGGUGAAACUGCAAAUGGCUCAUUACAACGGUUAUGAUGUACCCGGGAGUUCCGAUGGAUAUUUCCAGUAACACUAGAACUAAUACAUGUCCCUGCGUUUAUUAGUUUCGCACAGUCCGUCGCUGAGUCAUGGUAAACAGUUGAUCGACUCGACGUCCCGGAACAGUUUCCGCCCCAUCAGCUUCGAUGGUUGGGUAUUGGCCUACCAUUGCAACAACGGGUAACGAGGAAUUAGGGUUUGAUUUCGGAGAGGGAGCCUGAGAAACGGCUACCACAUCUACGGAUGGCAGCAGGCGCGCAAAUUACCCAAUGCAGACACUGUGAGGUAGUGACGAGAAAUAAUAAAGCGGGACUUCUGUUUCGCUAUUAUAAUGAGGAAUAACCAAAGGUCAUUCCGAUUAGCAACUGAUGGGAAAGUCUGGUGCCAGCAGCCGCGGUAAUACCAGCGUCAGUA
Molecule: ribosomal RNA, 500 nt
Filed under: uncultured Myrionecta
Lineage: Eukaryota; Ciliophora; Litostomatea; Cyclotrichida; Mesodiniidae
Description: SSU rRNA
Rfam family: Eukaryotic small subunit ribosomal RNA
Source: RNAcentral